Molecule: ribosomal RNA, 467 nt
Filed under: uncultured bacterium
Lineage: Bacteria
Description: bacterial SSU rRNA
Rfam family: Bacterial small subunit ribosomal RNA
Source: RNAcentral
UAGGGAAUAUUGGGCAAUGGAGGGAACUCUGACCCAGCCAUGCCGCGUGCAGGAUGAAGGCGUUAUGCGUUGUAAACUGCUUUUUAUAUAGGAAGAAAUAGUCCUUGCGAGGAAAGUUGACGGUACUAUAUGAAUAAGCACCGGCUAACUCCGUGCCAGCAGCCGCGGUAAUACGGAGGGUGCAAGCGUUGUCCGGAUUUAUUGGGUUUAAAGGGUGCGUAGGCGGUUUAUUAAGUCAGUGGUGAAAGACGGUCACUCAACGAUUGCAGUGCCAUUGAUACUGGUAGACUUGAGUAUGAUUGAGGUAGCUGGAAUGGAUAGUGUAGCGGUGAAAUGCAUAGAUAUUAUCCAGAACACCAAUUGCGUAGGCAAGUUACUAAGUCAUAACUGACGCUGAGGCACGAAAGUGUGGGUAUCAAACAGGAUUAGAUACCCUAGUAGUCCCUGAGCGGGCUGGCAAGGCGCAU